UACAGAGGUCUCAAGCGUUGUUCGGAUUCAUUGGGCGUAAAGGGUGCGUAGGCGGCGCGGUAAGUCGGGUGUGAAAUCUCGGAGCUUAACUCCGAAACUGCAUUCGAUACUGCCGUGCUUGAGGACUGGAGAGGAAACUGGAAUUUACGGUGUAGCGGUGAAAUGCGUAGAUAUCGUAAGGAAGACCAGUGGCGAAGGCGGGUCUCUGGACAGUUCCUGACGCUGAGGCACGAAGGUCAGGGGAGCAAGCGGG
Molecule: ribosomal RNA, 253 nt
Filed under: uncultured bacterium
Lineage: Bacteria
Description: partial 16S ribosomal RNA
Rfam family: Bacterial small subunit ribosomal RNA
Source: RNAcentral